AACGAACGCUGGCGGCGCGCUUAACACAUGCAAGUCGAGCGAGAAAGUGACUUCGGUCAUGAGUACAGCGGCGCACGGGUGCGUAACACGUGGACAACCUACCCUGAGGAAGGGGAUAACUCUGCGAAAGCGGGGCUAAUACCGUAUACGUCCUUGAGGCUUCGGCUGAUAGGGGAAAGGGGCUUUUGUCUCGCCUCAGGAUGGGUCUGCGGCCCAUCAGCUUGUUGGUAAGGUAACGGCUUACCAAGGCUACGACGGGUAGCUGGCCUGAGAGGGUGGCCAGCCGCACUGGAACUGAAACACGGUCCAGACUCCUACGGGAGGCAGCAGUGGGGAAUCUUGCGCAAUGGGGGAAACCCUGACGCAGCGACGCCGCGUGAGUGAAGAAGGCCUUCGGGUUGUAAAACUCUGUCGCGAGUGAAGAAACAGUACGGGUAACGCCGUACUGCGACGGUAUCUCGUGAGAAAGCACUGGCUAACUCCGUGCCAGCAGCCGCGGUAAUACGGAGAGUGCAAGCGUUGUUCGGAAUCACUGGGCGUAAAGCGAGUGUAGGUGGCCUUGUAAGUCGGAUGUGAAAGCCCACGGCUCAACCGUGGAGGGUCAUCCGAAACUGCCUGGCUUGAGUUCGGGAGAGGGUAGCGGAAUUCCCGGUGUAGAGGUGAAAUUCGUAGAUAUCGGGAGGAACACCAGUGGCGAAGGCGGCUACCUGGACCGACACUGACACUGAGACUCGAAAGCGUGGGGAGCAAACAGGGUUAGAUACCCUGGUAGUCCACGCCGUCAACGGUGGGCACUAGGUGCAGCGGGUGUCUGACCCCUGCUGUGCCGAAGUUAACGCAUUAAGUGCCCCGCCUGGGGAGUACGGCCGCAAGGUUA
This 877-nucleotide ribosomal RNA is filed under the name uncultured bacterium. RNAcentral's name for it is "bacterial SSU rRNA". It matches the Rfam family "Bacterial small subunit ribosomal RNA", at positions 28 to 896 of the family's 1533-position model. The record is from RNAcentral.